UUUGAUCCUGGCUCAGAGCGAACGCUGGCGGCAGGCUUAACACAUGCAAGUCGAGCGGGCGUAGCAAUACGUCAGCGGCAGACGGGUGAGUAACGCGUGGGAACGUACCUUUUGGUUCGGAACAACCCAGGGAAACUUGGGCUAAUACCGGAUAAGCCCUUACGGGGAAAGAUUUAUCGCCGAAAGAUCGGCCCGCGUCUGAUUAGCUAGUUGGUGAGGUAAUGGCUCACCAAGGCGACGAUCAGUAGCUGGUCUGAGAGGAUGAUCAGCCACAUUGGGACUGAGACACGGCCCAAACUCCUACGGGAGGCAGCAGUGGGGAAUAUUGGACAAUGGGCGCAAGCCUGAUCCAGCCAUGCCGCGUGAGUGAUGAAGGCCCUAGGGUUGUAAAGCUCUUUUGUGCGGGAAGAUAAUGACGGUACCGCAAGAAUAAGCCCCGGCUAACUACGUGCCAACAGCCGCGGUAAUA
This 469-nucleotide ribosomal RNA is filed under the name uncultured Alphaproteobacteria bacterium. RNAcentral describes it as "bacterial SSU rRNA". It matches the Rfam family "Bacterial small subunit ribosomal RNA", at positions 12 to 525 of the family's 1533-position model. The record is from RNAcentral. Lineage: Bacteria; Pseudomonadati; Pseudomonadota; Alphaproteobacteria.